This 945-nucleotide ribosomal RNA is filed under the name uncultured archaeon. RNAcentral describes it as "bacterial SSU rRNA". It matches the Rfam family "Archaeal small subunit ribosomal RNA", at positions 449 to 1402 of the family's 1478-position model. The record is from RNAcentral.
CUUCUAGAAAGAUGCAGCCGCGGUAAUCCCAGCAGUCCGAGUCGUGGCCACACUUAUUAGGUCUAAAACAUUCGUAGCUUGCUUUGUAAGUUCUUUGUGAAAUUGUUGCACUUAAUGCAACAGCGUGCAAGGGAGACUGCAAGGCUAGAGACUGGGAGACGCAAUGAGUACGUUCAAGGUAGCGGUAAAAUGUUUUAAUCUUGGACGGACUGACAAUGGCGAAGGCACAUUGCGAGAACAGAUCUGACAGUGAGGAAUGAAGGCCCGGGGCGCAAAAUGGAUUAGAUACCCAUGUAGUCCGGGCAGUAAACACUGAUUACUAAACAUUGUGCCCUCCUCGAGAGGGUGCAGUGCUGAAGGGAAGCUGAAGAGUAAUCUACCUGGGGAGUAUAGCCGCAAGGCCGAAACUUAAAGGAAUUGGCGGGGGGACACACAAGGGGUGACGCGUGCGGUUCAAUUAGAUUCUACACCGUGAACCUUACCAGGAGCGACAGCAGAAUGAAGGUCAGUCUAAAGGGCUUACCUAACACGCUGAGCGGAAUUGCAUGGCCGUCGUAAGCUUGUGCCGUGAGGUGCCCUGUUAAAUCAGGUAACAAGCGAGACCUGCACCCAUAAUUGCUACCCGGAGAGGGAGCACAUUAUGGGGACCGCUCCGGCAAUGGAGAGGAAGGUGCAGUCAACGACAGGUGAGUACGGUCCUAAUCCCCUGGGCUACACGCGCGCGGCAAUGCUAUGUUCAAUGAGACGCGACUCCGAAAGGAGAAGCAAAUCCCCUAAAACAUAGCCUAGUUCAGAUUGAAGUUUGCAACCUAACUUCAUGACGCUGGAAUCCCUAGUAAUCGGAUGUUAGCAGCGUCCGGUGAAUAAGUCACAGUUCCUUGUACACACCGCCCGUCAUCUUGCUGAAAAAACUCGAGCCAUCCGGAAGAUCUGGCGGCCGCUCUC